CUCUGUGUCAUUUUACACAGCGUGGGAAAGUUAUUUGGAACUUUCCCACACUGUGUAAAAUGACAGAGCA
This is a non-coding RNA of Pelobates cultripes (western spadefoot toad), 70 nucleotides long. The record is from the annotation of a GenBank genome assembly. Lineage: Eukaryota; Metazoa; Chordata; Amphibia; Anura; Pelobatidae.